RNAcentral lists this ribosomal RNA (357 nucleotides) under uncultured bacterium. RNAcentral's name for it is "bacterial SSU rRNA". It matches the Rfam family "Bacterial small subunit ribosomal RNA", at positions 54 to 389 of the family's 1533-position model. The record is from RNAcentral.
CAUGCAAGUCGAACGAGAAAGGGAAUUCGGUCCUGAGUAAAGUGGCGCACGGGUGAGUAACACGUAGGUAACCUGCCUCUAAGUUGGGACAACUUGUCGAAAGAUAAGCUAAUACUGAAUAAGACCACAGUUUCCUCGGAAGCAGGGGUCAAAGGUAGCCUCUAUUUAUAAGCUAUCACUUAGAGAUGGGCCUGCGUACCAUUAGCUAGUUGGUGAGGUAACGGCUCACCAAGGCAAAGAUGGUUAGCUGGUCUGAGAGGAUGAUCAGCCACACUGGAACUGAGAAUACGGUCCAGACUCCUACGGGAGGCAAGCAGUGGGGAAUAUUGCGCAAAUGGGGCGAAAAGGCCUUGACGC